AUGCCUAGAUAUCCAAGUAACUGUCUUUUAGUGUAUUCUAGGACAAAAAAAAAAUCAUUACCAGUAUUAAAAAUGCUUAAUGAUAUUGUGUGUCUCGUCAGCAGAACUCAGACCUCUGAAAACAGGGAACUAAUUCCUCACGCGGUCUUCAUGUCCGCUACGCAUCGGCAUGCCGCCUGGAUGUGCCCAGCGCUGUACGUGUUCUUCUCACGUUGUUCGUCCCCUGUGCCCAAGGCAGAAGCCAACCUGACUACUGCCACGCAGCGCAGCACUUUUUAAAGCUCGUUCGCAGGAUGAGCACAGAAAUGAAAACAAUCCAGAGGACGUGGCCUCAGAGGUGACCGCGCAGCGGCUGAAGCUAUUGCUAACUACGUAUACGCUCUUAACCUGCCCCGGGUGUGGGGUAACGACUGGCAUAAAACGUGCUGGGAUUUGUAGCUGGAGUAAUCUGAGUACAAACACAUAAUGUUACUGUGCCUCAACUAAUAAGCCAGAAAGUUUUAAGCUGCUGGAUCCUUGUUGUCAUGUGCUUGUACUUCAUGCUAAGUCUGUGGAUUUUAGAGUGCUCAGAAAUGCCAACCUUUAAGUGCAAACAUGCUUUUGAUCUUUACAGUGCAACCGGCACUCUACUCCAGUAUUUGUUACGCUCAGCAUACUUAGCCAUUGAACAGGCUUAUUAUUUACUUAAGGCCCUUUGCCUUGCAUUCAGCACGUAAAAGCUGUAGCUCCAGAGAAGGGUUUUGUUUUGUGUUGGCUGACACAUCCCAGAGUCCACUGCUAUUCUGGCGGCUCUCCUGCCCGAAGUCCUGUAGGGGCUUUGGUCUCAGCACCAGGAGAUACAGACUCUUUCUUGGCAGAACUGUUCUUUUUUGGCUGUCCUUUGUUUGAAGGGGUGUGUGUGUGCGUGUGUGUGUUGGGGGACCAGCUGAGCUGCAGAUUGAGGUCCGUCUCACAGAGGUUAGCGUAGAGCAGCAGAACUGGCAAUAUCUAUCUAGGGAGAAACAUAAAUGAGAUUUAUCCCGUAUAAUUACGGGAGGGGGGGAAAA
RNAcentral lists this long non-coding RNA (1046 nucleotides) under Struthio camelus australis. RNAcentral describes it as "lncRNA (ENSSCUG00000008558.1)". The record is from RNAcentral. Lineage: Eukaryota; Metazoa; Chordata; Aves; Struthioniformes; Struthionidae.